CCAAUAGCGUAUAUUAAAGUUGUUGCAGUUAAAAAGCUCGUAGUUGAAUUUCGGGAUCAGACUGUCGGUCGUGCCUCGGUACGCACUGGCAUUAUUGGUUCCUACCUUCUGAAGAACCGCGAUGUCAUUAAUUUGGUGUCGCGGGGAAUCAGGACUGUUACUUUGAAAAAAUUAGAGUGUUUAAAGCAGGCUUACGCUUGAAUACAUUAGCAUGGAAUAAUGAAAUAGGACGUUUGAUUCUAUUUUGUUGGUUUCUAGGAUCGACGUAAUGAUUAAUAGGGAUAGUCGGGGGCAUUAGUAUUCAAUUGUCAGAGGUGAAAUUCUUGGAUUUAUUGAAGACUAACUACUGCGAAAGCAUUUGCCAAGGAUGUUUUCAUUAAUCAAGAACGAAAGUUAGGGGAUCGAAGACGAUCAGAUACCGUCGUAGUCUUAACCAUAAACUAUGCCGACUAGGGAUCGGAUGAUGUUAAUUUUAUAAUGACUCAUUCGGCGCCUUACG
This 499-nucleotide ribosomal RNA is filed under the name uncultured Glomeromycotina. Its description in RNAcentral is "partial small subunit ribosomal RNA". It matches the Rfam family "Eukaryotic small subunit ribosomal RNA", at positions 591 to 1092 of the family's 1831-position model. The record is from RNAcentral. Lineage: Eukaryota; Fungi; Glomeromycota.